AACGAACGCUGGCGGCAUGCCUAACACAUGCCAGUCGAACGAGACCUUCGGGUCUAGUGGCGCACGGGUGCGUAACGCGUGGGAACCUGCCCUUAGGUUCGGAAUAACUCCCCGAAAGGGGUGCUAAUACCGGAUAAUGUCUUCGGACCAAAGAUUUAUCGCCUUUGGAUGAGCCCGCGUUGGAUUAGCUAGUUGGUAGGGUAAAAGCCUACCAAGGCGACGAUCCAUAGCUGGUCUGAGAGGAUGAUCAGCCACACUGGGACUGAGACACGGCCCAGACUCCUACGGGAGGCAGCAGUGGGGAAUAUUGGACAAUGGGCGAAAGCCUGAUCCAGCAAUGCCGCGUGAGUGAUGAAGGCCUUAGGGUUGUAAAGCUCUUUUACCCGGGAUGAUAAUGACAGUACCGGGAGAAUAAGCUCCGGCUAACUCCGUG
This 433-nucleotide ribosomal RNA is filed under the name uncultured bacterium. RNAcentral describes it as "partial 16S ribosomal RNA". It matches the Rfam family "Bacterial small subunit ribosomal RNA", at positions 29 to 507 of the family's 1533-position model. The record is from RNAcentral.